ACUGAGACACGGCCCAGACUCCUACGGGAGGCAGCAGUGGGGAAUUUUCCGCAAUGGGCGCAAGCCUGACGGAGCAACGCCGCGUGUGGGAUGAAGGCCUGUGGGUUGUAAACCACUUUUCUCAGGGACGAACACAAUGACGGUACCUGAGGAAUCAGCCUCGGCUAACUCUGUGCCAGCAGCCGCGGUAAGACAGAGGAGGCAAGCGUUAUCCGGAAUUAUUGGGCGUAAAGCGUCCGUAGGUGGUCUAGCAAGUCUGGGGUUAAAGCCCGAAGCCCAACUCCGGAUCGGCCUUGGAAACUGCCAGACUCGAGUAAGGUAGGGGUUGCGGGAAUUCCCGGUGUAGCGGUGAAAUGCGUAGAUAUCGGGAAGAACACCAGCGGCGAAAGCGCGCAACUGGGCCAUUACUGACACUGAGGGACGAAAGCUAGGGGAGCGAAUGGGAUUAGAUACCCCAGUAGUCCUAGCCGUAAACGAUGGUGACUAGAUGUGGCUCGUAUUGACCCGAGCCGUGUCGUAGCUAACGCGAUAAGUCACCCGCCUGGGGAGUACGCACGCAAGUGUGAAACUCAAAGGAAUUGACGGGGGCCCGCACAAGCGGUGGAGCAUGUGGAUUAAUUCGAUGCAACGCGAAGAACCUUACCAGGGCUUGACAUCCUGCGAACCCCGCUGAAAGGUGGGGGUGCCUUCGGGAGCGCAGAGACAGGUGGUGCAUGGCUGUCGUCAGCUCGUGUCGUGAGAUGUUGGGUUAAGUCCCGCAACGAGCGCAACCCGCGUCCUUAGUUGCCAGCAUUUAGUUGGGCACUCUGGGGAGACUGCCGGUGACAAGCCGGAGGAAGGUGCGGAUGACGUCAAGUCAGCAUGCCCCUUAUGCCCUGGGCGUCACACGUGCUACAAUGGCCAGCACAAAGGGUAGC
Molecule: ribosomal RNA, 917 nt
Filed under: uncultured Cyanophyceae cyanobacterium
Lineage: Bacteria; Bacillati; Cyanobacteriota; Cyanophyceae
Description: bacterial SSU rRNA
Rfam family: Bacterial small subunit ribosomal RNA
Source: RNAcentral